Molecule: long non-coding RNA, 2291 nt
Organism: Fukomys damarensis (Damara mole-rat)
Lineage: Eukaryota; Metazoa; Chordata; Mammalia; Rodentia; Bathyergidae
Exons: 5
Source: RefSeq, a predicted model, not a curated record
GCCGUAGCUGCCGCCAGGGGUCGUUUUGCAGGGACCUGAGUUCUCCAACCGAGUUCGCGGAUACUCGUGGACUAGCGGAGGCCCUAGAGGACCUCACUCUCACUUGUUUUGUAGUGGCGAACCCACGUUCGUCUGGUACCUAGGGUGGCUUGGCGGCCGCGUUCGCAGCGGUCACCUGGAGCCCCUGGCCUCCGGGUCCCCGUCAGUCCCGCCCAGUGCGUCUCUUGUUCCAGCAUCAGCGCUGUCUGAUCAGGAUGCUGACCAGGAUGCUGUUCUGGUUUUGGGAAAGGGUGGUCUAACUCUCUACCUCCAGCCCCUGCCCUAGUUGGCCUUUGCUGAACUCUGAAAUGGCUCGCCAGGGGCUUCGACAGCCCACCUUCCGAGCCCUGCUGUUGACGCGGUCCUCGGUGGCAGUUCAAUGCCUAUGGAACGGUUGGAGGGCAGAACUGCUCCCUGGACGCACAGGGGCUGGAUCUUACUGGGCAAAAAGCCUCACUCAGCAAAGAAAAUAGGGACCGCUACCUUUGAACGUUGUUUUUUGAGACAGGGUUUUGCUACGUAGUCCAGGUUGGCCUUGAAUUAACUCUGUGGCCCUGGAAGGCCUUGAACUGAAGCGAUCCUCCUGUCUCAGCCUUCCGAGUGCUGGGAUUACAGGUGUCUGGCUUGCAACAUUGAUUUUUACCCAGUGCUCCUCAGUUUUAUGAAUAUUUACUCAGUGCUGUCUCUGUGCCAGGCUUUGUGCUAGACGCUAGGAUUAUGGCUUUUUCUUGGUGCUUUCUGCCUCAUCAGGGACAGGAGGACUUGUGAAUAUGUGAUGUGAUUGUGUCUAGUACUAGAAGUGAAAAUAUAUAUGAGGAGCCAACUUGGAACUGGUGGUUGGGAAAGGCCCUCUGAGGAAGUGAUAGUCAGACCUGAAGGGUGAAUUGCAGUGCAUGCCAGGCAGAGAAAUGGAAAAGAGGUUGGUGUAUUUGAGCAGCCAGUAAGGCUGAAGUCUCUUUCACUGGUGGCUUAUAUUCUAAGUAGGAGAAAUCAGGAAAGUACAUACACUGUAUAAGUAAUGUGGUGGAAUAUAGACUUCAAGAAAAAAAUAGAGAUUAGAUUUGAGGUUCUUCAGGAGAGACCAGUUUGCCUAACCUUUGAAAGCCGGGCAAGGUAUUAGUUGAGAAAGAGCCUCAUUUCUUGAACAUACAUCAUAGGCAGGCACUGUGCUGUUUUUUUGUUUUGGGUUUCUUUCCCCCCAACUUUAUCUUAUUUCUCACAGCAAAACUGGGAAGUAUUUUACAGCAGAGGAAAUUGAGGCUUAAUGCUUGCCCCUGGUCAAGGAGCUGGCACACAGGAGAGCCAAGAUCAAGCAGCUUUGGGGUGUUAUUACAGAGCUGUCAGGAGAAGGGGCCAUUGGAUUUGGUAAUUGGGAGCCAGGUGACAGGCCUAUGAGAUGGGGCACAGGCAGUGGGGUCUGAGGAAGGCGCUGCCCUGGGUGAGUUUCUCUUGUGCUCCAGGGUACAGAUAUCAAUCUGGAAGGACCAGGUCUGCAGUCCACCUGUGGAGGAAGGCAACCACUGCAAGCUGUGCAGCACCUGGUCAGGAGUGUCCAGAGCAAGGAGAGGCUACUGCAUGUGCGGUGCCCCCCGCCCCCAUUCCUGCCCCUGGAAGACUGAAACACUCCCUCUGCCUCAAAAGGAAGCAGGGUCACAGACCCCAGGACACCCUACAGAGAAGGAAUGAGAAAAGUAACUGAGACAACACUCAAGAAACAGAGGAAUACACUGUCUUGCUUGCCCUCUGUGAAGAGUGAUGUCAGAGAGCACCCAGGUCCUCAAGGAGCUUGAGACUCUGUUGCUCACAGCAGACAACUGGGAGAGGGUGAAGCUAUCCAAGUGUGGAUGGAACCACCCUUCAAAUGGCAGGUCGAACUCCUGUGAGGUCUCCCCACCUUGCACCACUUGAUACUGGCAGUUGGACAGAAUCAGCGGAAUCAGGUCACGCUCCACGUCGUAACUGAUGACAUGCAGUAACAGAGAGGAAAGGGACCUGCCGCUCAUACUUUCAACACUCCUGGACAAUUCCUUCGCCUGACUUAUGAGCAGCCAUAGGAGGGGUAACCCUAUGUGGCUCUUCAGAAGCCUCCUGUGGUCCUUCCCCAAGAGGGUUCAGCAGACGUGAGGGACAGAGGCGCCAGACAGUGGUCACUCACCUCCAGCUCAGUGCUGGAGAUUGAACCCAGGGCCUUCACCCUGACCUACAAUCCAACCACUCCCCACCUUUUAAUUUUGAGACAGGUUCUUGCUAAA